UACGUAGGGGGCAAGCGUUGUCCGGAUUUAUUGGGCGUAAAGAGCGUGUAGGCGGCCAGACAGGUCAGCUGUGAAAACUCGAGGCUCAACCUCGAGACGUCGGUUGAAACCGUCUGGCUAGAGUCCGGAAGAGGAAAGUGGAAUUCCUGGUGUAGCGGUGAAAUGCGCAGAUAUCAGGAAGAACACCCGUGGCGAAGGCGGCUUUCUGGGACGGUACUGACGCUGAGACGCGAAAGCGUGGGGAGCGAACAGG
Molecule: ribosomal RNA, 253 nt
Filed under: uncultured bacterium
Lineage: Bacteria
Description: partial 16S ribosomal RNA
Rfam family: Bacterial small subunit ribosomal RNA
Source: RNAcentral